RNAcentral lists this ribosomal RNA (196 nucleotides) under uncultured bacterium. Its description in RNAcentral is "partial 16S ribosomal RNA". It matches the Rfam family "Bacterial small subunit ribosomal RNA", at positions 328 to 539 of the family's 1533-position model. The record is from RNAcentral.
ACGCUCGACACCUACGGGAGCAGCAGUGGGGAAUAUUGCACAAUGGGGGAAACCCUGAUGCAGCGACGCCGCGUGGAGGAAGAAGGUCUUCGGAUUGUAAACUCCUGUUGUUGGGGAAAAGAGGAUGGUACCCAACAAGGAAGUGACGGCUAACUACGUGCAAGCAGCCGCGGUAAUCUGAGCGGGCUGGCAAGGC